This is a long non-coding RNA of Gekko japonicus, 1205 nucleotides long. RefSeq lists it as uncharacterized. The record is from RefSeq and is a predicted model, not a curated record. The transcript is spliced from 3 exons. NCBI's taxonomy places the organism in Eukaryota, Metazoa, Chordata, Lepidosauria, Squamata, Gekkonidae.
UGGGGCGUGCUCUUUACCUCCUCAUAUAGGCUUUAGAAGAACACAGAACAUUGGGGACAAACUUGUCAGAGCAGACGCCUUUAAAGUUCUUGUGCAAGACACUUUACCACCUGGGCAUCACAAAUGUGGUCACUGUGCGGCCUGUUCUUUGAUGUCAGAGACAGGUGUUCUGGAUUUUCCGGAACUGAAUUUUAAGAAAACACUCACCCAUUUUUCAUCUUGUGCCACGAAGUCCGUCAUUUACCUAAUUACAUGUGCUUGUGCGCACAGGUAUGUCGGGCAAACUUCAAGAGCAUUGAGAACUAGGAUCCUGGAACACAGAUCGAAAUUGAAGCAUAAAUGUAUAACGGCUCCUAUGGUCCAGCAUUUUGAUAUAGCGGGCCACGGACCCAAUGACUUUAAAUGUGUAGUCUUGGAAGUGGUGAAACCCAAACCUUAUACACACAGUGACAUGCAGAGAAUAUUACUGCAAAGAGAGGCUUUCUGGACUUUUGUAUUAAAAACAGAAUAUCCCACUGGUCUCAAUGCUGCCCUUGAUUUAUCAUGUUUUUUAGGAGAAUGAAUCUACACCCUCCUAUAUCCCUGCCUGUUAUUAUGUUCCUUAAACCCUUCAUGAGAUUCUCUAUUCUUAAUAUACUUUGUUCUAUACUCUUCCACAUAUUUACCCUCUUUGUAAAUAGCUGGUUGCCAACUUAUGAUAUACUUACCUUUUCUUCUGGUCAGUUGGCUGCCCAAACCGGAUAUGCACUUUGUAUUUAAAGAGGAAGCUUCCAAUUAACUAGCAAGACUGACUUGUCCAUGUAAAAGAAUCAGUGUGUAGGAGCCAACUUAUGACAUACUUACCUUCUCUUCUGGUCAGUUGGCUGCCCAAACCGGAUAUGCACUUUGUAUUUAAAGAGGAAGCUUCCAAUUAACUAGCAAGACUGACUUGUCCAUGUAAAAGAAUCAGUGUGUAGGAGCCAACUUAUGACAUACUUACCUUCUCUUCUGGUCAGUUGGCUGCCCAAACCGGAUAUGCACUUUGUAUUUAUAGAGGAAGCUUCCAAUUAACUAGUAAGACUGACUUGUCCAUGUAAAAGAAUCAGUGUGUAGGAGCUGUGUGAGCCAUUUUGAAUGUUUUGGAUACCCUUGUGGUGCAUUGAAUUGCAGAAGUUCAUUGAAUAUUGAAGACUGAGAUUGAGAAAGAUCACUCGAAACGAACGCAG